GACGAACGCUGGCGGCGUGCUUAACACAUGCAAGUCGAACGGAAAGGCCCUGCUUUUGUGGGGUGCUCGAGUGGCGAACGGGUGAGUAACACGUGAGUAACCUGCCCUUGACUUUGGGAUAACUUCAGGAAACUGGGGCUAAUACCGGAUAGGAGCUCCUGCUGCAUGGUGGGGGUUGGAAAGUUUCGGCGGUGGGGGAUGGACUCGCGGCUUAUCAGCUUGUUGGUGGGGUAGUGGCUUACCAAGGCUUUGACGGGUAGCCGGCCUGAGAGGGUGACCGGCCACAUUGGAACUGAGGUACGGCGCAGACUCCUACGGGAGGCAGCAGUGGGGAAUAUUGCACAAUGGGCGGAAGCCUGAUGCAGCAACGCCGCGUGCGGGAUGACGGCCUUCGGGUUGUAAACCGCUUUCGCCUGUGACGAAGCGUGAGUGACGGUAAUGGGUAAAGAAGCACCGGCUAACUACGUG
This 468-nucleotide ribosomal RNA is filed under the name uncultured bacterium. RNAcentral's name for it is "partial 16S ribosomal RNA". It matches the Rfam family "Bacterial small subunit ribosomal RNA", at positions 28 to 507 of the family's 1533-position model. The record is from RNAcentral.